This 7500-nucleotide long non-coding RNA is filed under the name Homo sapiens (human). RNAcentral describes it as "HSALNT0403609". The record is from RNAcentral. Lineage: Eukaryota; Metazoa; Chordata; Mammalia; Primates; Hominidae.
GUAACAACUUCCCUUUCAAGAGUCCAAGACCUCAAUUCUUUGGAGAAAAAUGGAUGAAGGUGCUGGAUAUUAGACCUUCGUCAGACACAUAGACCAGUGGAACAGAAUAGAGAACCCAGAAAUUAGAUCACUCAUCUUCAACCAUCCAAUCUUCGACAAACCUGACAAAAAGCAAUGGGGAAAGGACUCCCUGUUCAAUAAAUGGUGCUGGGAGAAAUGGCUGGCCAUAUUGUGUCUAGAAUUUAUUCCUUCCAGUGGGUUCUUGGUCUCGCUGGCUUCAAGAAUGGAGCCGCAGACCUUUGCAGUGAGUGUUACAGCUCAUAAAGGUGUUGCAGACCCAAAGAGUGAGCAGCAGCAAGAUUUACUGUGAAGAGCGAAAGAACAAAGCUUCCACAGCAUGGAAGGGCACUUUCCGCUGCUGGCUCAGGUGGCCAGCUUUUAUUCCCUUAUUUGGCCCCACCCACAUCCUGCUGACUGGUCCAUUUUACAGAGCCCUGAUUGGUCCAUUUUACAGAGUGCUGAUUGGUGUGUUUACAAUCCUUUAUCUAGACACUGAGCACUGAUUGGUGCGUUUUUACAGAGGGCUGAUCAGUGCGUUUAUUUUCCUUUAGCUAGACACAGAGCGCUGAUUGGUGCGUUUUUACAGAGUGCUGAUUGGUGCAUUGACAAUCCUUUAGCUAGACACAGAGUGCUGAUUGGUGCAUUUUUACAGAGUGCUGAUUGGUGCAUUUACAAUCCUUGAGCUAGACACAGAGCGCUGAUUGCGUUUACAAUCCUCUAGCUAGAUAGAAAAGUUCUCCAAGUCCCCACUUGACCCAGGAAGUCCAGCUGGCUUCACUUCUCAAUAUGUAGAAAAUUGAAACUGGACCCCUUCCUUACACCACAUACAAAUAUUAAAUCAAAAGAGAUUAAAAACCUAAAUGUAAAACUCAAAACUAAGAAAACCUUGAAAGACAGCUGAGGCAAUACCAUUCGGGACAUAGGCCAUGAGCAAAGAUUUCAUGAGAAAAAUGCCAAAGGCAACUGCAAGAAAACAAAAAAUUGACAAAUGGGACCUAACUAAACUGAAGAACUCUGCACAGCAAAAGAAACUGUCUGCAGAGUAAACAGACCACCUACAGAAUGGGAGAAAAUGUUUGCACUGAUUUACUUUCACAAAGUCAGUUUGUGAAAGAAAAAGAGAACAAGUGGAAUUUGAAAGGCAAUGGCUAAUUUCUUAUGCAUCAGUGAAGACAUUGGAAUCCAAUAGAGUUGAGUGCAAAGCCCACCCUGCCCCAAUUCUGUGCCUAUAAAGACCUCAGGCUCAGCCAGCAGAGAGGAAAAGUGGCUGGAUGUUGAGAGAGGCAGUUUGACUCCAGAGAUGGCAGCUGGAUGUCGGAAAGCAGCAACUUGACUUCACAAGAGAGAGGCAGAGGUGACUUAAUAUCAGAGGAGAGCAACCUGCCCUUCCCAUCCCCUUUCCAUCUCCCCUCUUGCUGAGAGCCGCUCUCGUCACGCAAUAAAAUUCACCACAUUCACCAUCCUUCAAUUUAUAUUUGCGACCUCAUUCCUCUUGGGCACCGGACAAGAAUUUGGGAUGCACCAAGUGUGGACACCCACAAAGGCUGUCACAGUGGCCCUUUGCCAUUGCCAGCAGAGGGCAGCUGCCCCAUGCAAUAAGCCAAAGGGCUGGCUGAGCUGAUAACACACUGCUUUCUGUGGACGGCGGCGGAGCUAAAAGAGUAUUGUAACAUGCCCUCUGGGGCCUUGGGGAACCCCACCUGGAUCCUGCCAAGAGGCCUGCAUGAAGUUUGCUCCUGCCAGCACUAAAGCAGCCAGUUUUUUCCUGCACUCACUCACCUGCACACUUCCUCCUGCGAUGGGUGGGACACAGUCAACCUGAGUGAGCAGAGUUUGCUCAUGCAGGCACCUAAAUUGCUGGCAAGUUCCUGAGCUCAUUCGCUUCAAUUCCCGUACUCAUUUGCAUGGGUGCUCCCUCCCACAAGGGGUUGAACAGGACAGGUUGAGUAAAUGGUGCACCCCUCUUUUGAGUCCCACCAAGGGUCAAGAAAAUAUCCUGCAUCACUUUGUCAACUUAUGCCACUUAAAGGACAUGCUGCCUACUUUAGACUUAUUUACAAGUUUGCAUAAUUUUUAGACAUAGACAACGCCGUUUAUCUCUGCAAUUACUAUCAAUUCUAACCUAGGAAGCACCAAGUUAAUGGCAAUAAAAAAAAAAAGAAUAAACAACUGUUUCCAGCAACAAGGUGACUGUACCAGUAAUUAAUUUAUUGCCUUCCAGAGGCAAAUUCACUAUUGCCUGUUCUGAGAAAAAGAAUCUGGGCCCUUCAAAUAGCUGCCAGAAUGUAAAAACUUGCCAGCAGAUGGUGGUGGAGAGAUGCUGGAGGUGGAAGGGAUUUCAUCCCAGGUCUGGUAUGCUCCCUCAUCAGGCUCUCACAGUGGAACACACCUUCUCCAACACCUGGCUCCUGUUCAGCAGCACCCAGAGACCAUCAGCUUCCUUUUGCACUCCUUUCAGAUAAUUUAGCAGUUGAGUCUCUCUGGAAAAAUCAAUAGCUUUCCAUGACACCCCAGAGGAUGAAUCUCCUGCCUGCCCAAAAGGCAUAUUUUCAGCAAUUUCUUCCAGUACAGCCCCACUGCAACUACUCUGCCACCCAGUGAGAGCCACAUUCUCUUUUCUUUUUUUUCUUUUUUUUAAUUUUUGAUUUCCAACUUUUAAGCUCAAGGGAACAUGUUCAGGAUAUAGAGUGUGCAGUUUGGUACAUAGGUAAACAUGUGCCUUGUGGUUUGCUGCACAGAUCAUCCCAUCACCUAGGUAUUAAGCCCAGCAUCCAUUAGCUGUUCUUCCUGAUGCUCUCCCUCCUCCCAUGCCCCACCCUCCAACAGGCCCUAGUCUGUGUUGUUCUCUCCCCGGCAAUUCCUCAAAGACUUAGAGGCAGAAAUACCAUUUGACCCAGCAAUCCCAUUAUUGGGUAUAUACCCAAAGGAAUAUAAAUCAUUCAAUCAGGAACAUAUACGCAUGUGUACGUUCACUGCAGCACUAUUCACAAUAGCAAAGACAUGGAAUCAACCUAAAUGUCCAUCAAUGAUAGACUGGAUAAAGAAAAUAUGGUACAUACACACCAUGGAAUACUAUGCAGUCACAAAAAGGAAUGAGAUCAUGUCUUUUGUAGGGACAUGGAUGGGGCUGGAAGUCAUUAUCCUCAGAAAACUAAUGCAGGAACAGAAAAACCAAACAGUGCAUGUUCUCACUUAUAUGUGGGAGCUGAGUGUUGAGAACACAUGGACACAUGGUAGUGAGCCACAUUCUUACCCUUUCCAAUAAGGCUUGAAUCUCAUCUUGGUAGGGAGGGAGCAGUCUUACUGGAUGCUGUAUUUCAGCACCAGGGAUUGGAGAACACUCCCUCACUUUUGCAUCAGCUAAUCCUGUACUCUAUAAAAUUCUUUUCAUUUAUUACAAUCCUAUUCCUCCAUACACAAAUCUCCUGUUAAAAUUAAUAACUUUUAUAUCAAACUUCCUCUGUUCACAUUACUGUGUUGGUUUCUCCCUCCUGAUUGGAUCACAACUGAUACAAUUGGGUUAAAUACUUUUUCAUAAAAUAAAUUAUUAAAUCCAUUCCUUUAGUGUGUAAGUAUUUAGAGUUUACAAAUUACUGAGAUUUAAUUCUACAAAUUAUACAUAUUUACAAUCUAGGUGAAGGCACUCAAGAGAUAUUUAAACAUUUCCCCUCUAAGACAUCAGUUUAAAGAAAGACAGAAAGAAAGAAAGAAAGAAAGAAAGAAAGAAAGAAAGAAAGAAAGAAAGAAAGAAAGAAAGAAAACCCUUUGCUAGCACAAAACAGUCCCCAAAACCUUACUGUUGGGGUUGAGAAACUGAUACCUCCUAUGGCACUUUGGAAUGCUGAGUACUUUGAAUCAAAGGAGUUGAAAGACCAUAGAAGCAACUUCAGAACCAAUGUCACUCUGACCUCCUGCUCUUCUGUCUCUUACCCUCUUUCUCCUGCAAUAGUGCAAGGAGGGGCUCUCCCUGAACUUUCCUUAUCUGUCUAAAGAUUGGCCCUCUAGAAAGAAUACACUUGUCAUGAGUGUUUUUCCUGGGAAUCUCAUCAGCCAGGGAAAAGUAAAAGUAUCACAGGGGAGGAAACUGAAAGUUGACAACAUGCCCAGGCAGAUUUUAUCACAGACUAUCGCCUCUUUUUCUGAGACUGUUUAUUACCUGAAAGACCUUUUGUUUGCAUAACAAGACAACCUUUGUUCACCCUGCAUUUUCUCCCCUCACUCUCCCAUAACUUGUGUCACCACCAACCCUAGAAUCCCCAGGCCUGUAUUCCUUUCUUCAGCUCAAGAUGUUAUAUAUGUUUCAAUCAUCUGCCCCCUUUUCAAGUCUCAUAUUUUGUGGGACUCCUAUGUGUAUGCAAAUAAUUAAAAUGUUUUUUUCUCCUGUUAGUAAUUAUCAAACCUUCAGAGGAUAAAGAAAGUUUCCUUUCUCUAUAUUAAUAAUCUCUAGUCCCAACAUUCCAUUCCUCAUUCCCCAGCAUUCACACACACAUUUCCAUGCUGCUUUUCAACAAAAAGUUUUAUUUCCUGCAGUGUAGCAAAAUAACAUGAUUCUAAGUUCUCUUUUAUAAAAUCUGUUAGCUAUUAUAAUUCCUUCACUCACUUUCCCCUUUGUAAUAAAUUUUUCCCCAUCCAUUAAAAUAAUAUGGGCUUAGUAGAAUGCUUAAAAAAUAAAGAUCCACAUGAAAAAUUUAAAGUCAUGUAUAAACAUAUAAUUUAGUGAUAAUUAGUGUUAACAUUUUGGCUCAUUUUCUCUUUGCCUUUGUAAAAUUACAUUAGUCUUGGAUUUGUUUCUUUUCCUACCCCUAUCACAAAAGAUGCUCCUCUUCAUCCAUGGUUACUAUUUUAGUGUGCCCUAAAGGAUAUCACAGCUGAUAUGUCAGGCUACAGUUGUAACUUCCCUAAAAUUAUGACCUUCUUCUAUCGUUGAUGUUGUCACCACGUGGUAAUGAAAUCUUAGGAUAUUAUAAAUAGUUUGGUAUUUGAUUCUCAUAUUUAAUAAUGAAUCUAGAGAUUUCAGGGAAGAAAUAAAGUUGAUAUUGUUUGGAUAUUUGUUCCCUUUAAAUGUCAUCUUGAAAUUUGAUCCUCAGUGUUGGAGGUGGAGCUUAGUGAAAGGCAUCUAGGUCAUGCAGCACUCCUAGCACCUCCAAGGUCUGCUUUUUCAAAAGAGUCUGGAGCCUCCCUUUAUUCACUUUUUCCUUCUCUCUCACCGUGUGUUGGUUUCUCUCCUUUCCCUUCUGCCAUGAGUGAAAACUUUCUGAAGCCCUCAUCAGAAGCAGAUGCUGGUACCAUGCUUGCACAGCCUGCACGAGUGUAAGCCAAAUAAACCUCUUUUCUUUAUAAAUUCCUCAGCCUCAUAGUAUUCCUUUACAGCUAUGCAAAUGGACUAAGACAAGAGUUGAUCCCCUUCAACCACACAGAAAAAGACUUCCACUUUGUUGAAUUUGCUUCAUUUACAAACAAAACUCUAAUAAUAAUAGUAUACAGAGAAUUAAAGAAUACAAUUGAUCAUAUGCACUGACUUAGAAAAGGAAUGCACAUGGGAUGGCAAAAUAGAGAAGGCUUCUUGUGAGUGUGUGGGGGAGGCAGGAUAGGGUUAUCUGGGUCUUUAAAAAAACACUUGACUUAAGCAGAGAGGGCUAUGAGAGGGCUUAAUAAAAGUACAGAGGUAGAAAUACAGAAGAGGUAUAAAAAUAACAAAUAGUCUUAUGUGAUUACAACUUGACAUAUGUAAUUUAGCGGAAGCAUUUUCUACUUCUGAAACAAAUUAUGAUUAACACUUCCUGUAAUAGGUUUAUAAUUAUGUAAACCUAUUUAAAUCAAUCAUUUGCACAACAAAAUGAAUGAAUUAAUUUGUUGCAGCUGUGUUUACUGAGGCACACAUGUAAAGCAAUUUUAAAUGCUGUCAAGUAACAAUGAUUUCGUUUCAUGACUCACACUAAGUGAGAAAUUCUGAUUUUUUUAAGACAAAGUUUAAAAAAUCAAAAACUUAAAACUCCUGGAACUAAAAGCAUAGAAGAAAAGCUUCAUGACAUAGGACAUGACAAUGUGUUCUCACAUAUGACACCAAAGCACAGGGAAAGAAAGCAAAAGUAGAAAAGGGACUAUAUCAAACUCAAAAACUUUUGUGCAUUGAAGGACACACCUAACAGCCUGAAAAGGCAACCUAUGGAGUAGGAGAAAAUAUUUGCAAAUCAUAUAUAUCUAUACAUAUAUAUGGAUAUGAUAGUAAAUUGUUAUACAGAAAAUAUAAAAAGAACUUCUAUAACUCAAUAACAAAAAUCAAAUAACUUAUUUUUUUAAAUGGGCUAAGGACUUGAAUAGAUAUUUCUCCAAAAGUAAUACGCAAAUGGACCACAGUCAUAUAAAACAAAUAUUUGACAUCAUAAAUAAUUAGGGAAAUGCAAGUUAAAAUCACAAGAUAUCAUCUUACAUUCACUAGUAUGACUGCUAUCAAAAAAAUGAAACAAAACAGAAAAUAACAAAUGUUAGUGAGAAUGUGGAGAAAUUGGAACCCUAGUACACUGUUGGCGGGAUUGUGCAACCACUAUGCAAAAAUUAUAAAAAAUUAAAAAUAGAACUACCAUAUUACCCAACAAUUCCACAUCUGGGAUUUUAACCAAUACUUUUAACCAAAAGUAUUGAAAGAAGAGUCUCAAAGAGAUAUUUGAACACUCAUGUUUAUAGAAGCACUAUUUAAAACACCAACAAGUAGAAGCAGCCCAAAUAUCCAUUGACAAGUGAAUGGAUGAAGGAAAUGUAGUAUAUACACAUACAAUGGAAUAUUAUUCACCCCUAAAAAGGAAAUCUUGUCACAUACUACAGCAGGGAUAAGCCUGAAUGAUAUGCUAAAUAAAUAAGCCAGUCACAAUAAGACAAAUACUGUAUGAUUCAACUUCUAUAAAAUGGUGAUUACUAGGGACUGAGGUGAAAAAGUUCUAGAUAUAUGUAUUACAACAAGUUGAAUAUACUUAAAACUACUGAAUUGCACUCUUAAAAUGAUUAAAAUGAAGAAAAUACAUGUUUUUAACUACAAUUUAAUUUUUUUUAAAUCACAAAUUUAGUGAUAGGUAUGUGGCUUUAUAGAUGUUUUAAUCCAAACUUCACAUUUUAACAAUAAAAGUACUAGGACCUUAGAAGAUGGGUGACUGGUUUCAGAUUAUCCAGUCAAGAUGAAAAUUUAUGCCUUCCAAAUUACCACAUCUUAGGUGUCUUCAUCUGCUAGCUUAAUCCCAGGUUGUUCCUGGACUAUCUCUACAUCAAGCAGUGAAAGCUUAACUCCCUUCAUGUUUUACGAUGGAUAAAUAUGUGAGGUGAAAAUCAAGAGGCUAGCAUUGACCCAAUGUACAUCAUCUAUCAAGGAGACAAUGUUCGUUUGUUCUUUGAUGAAUCUCUAAGACAACAUUGUCAUGAUUUUGUUUUCAUCACACAUUUGCAUUAGGU